RNAcentral lists this long non-coding RNA (472 nucleotides) under Linum usitatissimum (flax). Its description in RNAcentral is "long non-coding RNA (LUSI_LNC002099)". The record is from RNAcentral. Lineage: Eukaryota; Viridiplantae; Streptophyta; Magnoliopsida; Malpighiales; Linaceae.
ACUUUCACAUUCUUUAAGCAGUAUUGCUGUCUUUUCUUGACAGCCGCCUUCCAAGUUCCAACCUUUUUCUUUGAUUUCCUCUGCCAACUUGACGAUUUUAUAUUGUGUUUGCUUAUUUACCGUCAAUUUCUUUGCUGGUGGAGCCUAAAAUCUAUAUUCUGCCUGCUUAUUUAUCCUUGCAGAAGUCUGAAUAUUUCCCGGGGACCUGAAUUCUCAUUCAUUGCUUAGUCCUCUUCGCAACGAAUACACUGAAUAGGAGAUGAGAAUACUUAGGUAACUCUGAAUCUUUGGUUCCGUUUGGUUUUCUUUCUUCGCCAUUGGAUUAAUCUUUGGUUCCGUUUGGUUCUUUCUUUGCCAUUGGAAAUCUAUGUAUCUUAUUAUUGUUGUUGACUAUCAGUGUGCUAGAGUUUCUGAAUUGAUGGACUGCUCACCAAGCAUCUGUGACGAGAAAUCCUUGAAGAAGUGGUUUUUC